Molecule: ribosomal RNA, 253 nt
Filed under: uncultured bacterium
Lineage: Bacteria
Description: partial 16S ribosomal RNA
Rfam family: Bacterial small subunit ribosomal RNA
Source: RNAcentral
UACAGAGGUGGCAAGCGUUGUUCGGAAUUACUGGGCGUAAAGGGCGCGUAGGCGGACAGUUUAGUCAGAGGUGAAAGCCCAGGGCUCAACCUUGGAAUUGCCUUUGAUACUGGCUGUCUUGAGUUCGGGAGAGGUGAGUGGAAUGCCGAGUGUAGAGGUGAAAUUCGUAGAUAUUCGGCGGAACACCAGUGGCGAAGGCGACUCACUGGCCCGAUACUGACGCUGAGGCGCGAAAGCGUGGGGAGCAAACAGG